AGCUCCAGUAGCGUAUAUUAAAGCUGUUGCGGUUAAAAAGCUCGUAGUUGGAUAUCAGUGCGUGUCCGGUCCGGUAUGCCUGGCGGCGGCGCUCGCGCGUCACUGCUGGGCUCCCAAAUAUCGGCUGGCCGCAUUCAAUCGUGCCGGAUCCGUCGUCGGGCCGUUCUUCGGAGGGGCCUGAUGGCGACCGGCGACGUUACCUUGAACAAAUUAGAGUGCUCAAAGCAGGCUCUUAAUGCCUGUAUACAUAUUCAUGGAAUUGGAGAAUACGUCCCUGGCUCGAUUUGGUUGGUUUUGAGAGUCGAAGGGAAAUGAUUAAUAGGGACUGACGGAGGCAUUCGUAUUGCGACGCGAGGGGUGAAAUCCUGUGACCGUCGCACGACGAACUACUGCGAAAGCAUUUGCCGAGAAUGUUUUCA
Molecule: ribosomal RNA, 419 nt
Filed under: marine Metazoa environmental sample
Lineage: Eukaryota; Metazoa
Description: SSU rRNA
Rfam family: Eukaryotic small subunit ribosomal RNA
Source: RNAcentral